AUUGAACGCUGGCGGCAGGCCUAACACAUGCAAGUCGAGCGAGCGGCGGACGGGUGAGUAAUGUAUGGGGAUCUGCCCGAUAGAGGGGGAUAACUACUGGAAACGGUGGCUAAUAACGCAUACUAUCGGAUGCAACAAUAUGGUGUUAGCUAGUAGGUGGGGUAAGGGGUCACCUAGGCGACGAUCUCUCGCUGUUCUGAGAGGAUGAUCAGCCACACUGGGACUUAGACACGGCCCAGACUCCUACGGGAGGCAGCAGUGGGGAAUAUGGCACAAUGGGCGCAAGCCUGAUGCAGCCAUGCCGCGUGUGUGAAGAAGGCCUUCGGGUUGUAAAGCACUUUCAGCGAGGAGGCGUUACUCGCAGAAGAAGCACCGGCUAACUCCGUGCCAGCAGCCGCGGUAAUAC
This 406-nucleotide ribosomal RNA is filed under the name uncultured bacterium. RNAcentral describes it as "partial 16S ribosomal RNA". It matches the Rfam family "Bacterial small subunit ribosomal RNA", at positions 30 to 526 of the family's 1533-position model. The record is from RNAcentral.